Molecule: ribosomal RNA, 481 nt
Filed under: uncultured bacterium
Lineage: Bacteria
Description: bacterial SSU rRNA
Rfam family: Bacterial small subunit ribosomal RNA
Source: RNAcentral
AAAUGAAUAGACGGGACCCCGCACAAGCAGCGGAGCGUGUGGUUUAAUUCGAUGAUACACGAAGAACCUUACCUGGGUUUGACAUGCAAGUGGUAGGAAACUGAAAGGGGACCGACCCUUCGGGGAGCUUGCACAGGUGCUGCAUGGCUGUCGUCAGCUCGUGUCGUGAGAUGUUCGGUUAAGUCCGCUAACGAGCGCAACCCUCGCCGUGUGUUACAAGUGUCACACGGGACCGCCGACGUCAAGUCGGAGGAAGGUGGGGAUGAUGUCAAGUCAGCAUGGCCUUUAUAUCCAGGGCUACACACACGCUACAAUGGUCAACACAAUAGGUUGCGAAACCGCGAGGUGGAGCCAAUCCCCAAAGUUGGCCUCAGUUCAGAUUGCAGGCUGCAACUCGCCUGCAUGAAGAUGGAGUUGCUAGUAACCGCAGGUCAGCACUACUGCGGUGAAUACGUUCCCGGGGUUUGUACACACCGCCCGU